RNAcentral lists this ribosomal RNA (536 nucleotides) under Capensibufo rosei. Its description in RNAcentral is "partial 16S ribosomal RNA". It matches the Rfam family "Bacterial large subunit ribosomal RNA", at positions 1919 to 2611 of the family's 2925-position model. The record is from RNAcentral. Lineage: Eukaryota; Metazoa; Chordata; Amphibia; Anura; Bufonidae.
CCCUGUUCACGGCCGCGGUAUCCUAACCGUGCGAAGGUAGCGUAAUCACUUGUUCUCUAAUUGUGGACUAGUAUGAACGGCACCACGAAGGUUAUACUGUCUCCUUUUUCUGAUCAGUGAAACUAAUCUCCCCGUGAAGAAGCGAGGAUGAAAAUAUAAGACGAGAAGACCCUAUGGAGCUUUAAACAAUGUAGCAAUUACCAUAUAAUUUAAAAUUUUCUGAAUCUUUAAUAUAUUUAAAGGUAAUAUGACUGUAAGUUUUUGGUUGGGGUGACCGCGGAGCAUAACAUAACCUCCAUGUUGAAAAAUUUUUAAGCUAAGACCCACCCGUCUAGGCAUCAAUUUAUUGACAUCCAUUGACCCAAUAUAUUUGACCAACGAACCAAGUUACCCUAGGGAUAACAGCGCAAUCCACUUCAAGAGCUCCUAUCGACAAGUGGGUUUACGACCUCGAUGUUGGAUCAGGGUAUCCUAGUGGUGCAGCCGCUACUAAAGGUUCGUUUGUUCAACGAUUAAAACCCUACGUGAUCUGAGUU